GUGGAAUCCUCGACAGACGACAUUUUCAAGAUGAUAUUAAGCAGAACCUAAAAUACCAUUACAUCACUGAUUCUAGAGAGAAAGGAGGGAGGCACUGCCUGUACAAUGAGUCUCCAAAUGGAAACAGAUGAUCAGAACCAGGCAGCAGUGUCUGCAGUGUCUGUGAAAAGUAGCAACUCCAUGAGGCAACCUCCUGUACUGAGUGAUGGAACAGUGACCUCUGACCCCAAAUCACUGAUUCUGGAGGGAAAGGAGGGAGGCACUGCCUCUACAAUGAGUCUCCAUGAAGAGAGAGAGGAUCAGACACAGAAAGCAGUGUCUGUAGUGUCUUUGAAAAGUAGCAACUCCAUGAGGCAACCUCCUGUACUGAGUAAUGGAACAGUGACCUCUGACUCCAAGUAGGAUGCUGCAUAACAAACAGUAGAUUGCAGAGAUCAAAUUGAAUAGCAUUUUUUUAAGAUUAUAUAUGGUAGAUUUGUAUACACAAAUUUUAAUUAUGAAUAAUAAUAUUGAAUGGAGGUGUAAUGGUUCAAGUUCAAUACUACUAUUUGUUAACAACAUAAACAGUUUGCCUUAAAAAAAAACUUUUUAAAAAAAAUUACUGAAUAAAAAUUUAUUUAGACUUAUUUGCACUGCUAAAGAGUUGGAUUCCAAUUCUAAACAUGGCCAAAGUUUCAAGAAAACUAGUUGAGUAUUUCUGUGCCAAAUACACUCCAGAGUAUGUAUUCACCUUAUUUUUCAAUGUGGAAGUAAAACGUUGUCUGUGAAUGUGUGAGAUUUCCGGUUCAUAAGCCACUGUAGAGAAAUAACGAGAAGAAUAACAAAGAUCAGUAAACAGUAAAACUGUUUGCACUAUAAACCCGUGUGUUCAUAAUUAAGAUAAUACAUUUAAAAAAAAUAUGGUAAGAAACACCAGUUUGCAAUAUCAAGAGAGCAAGAGCACGCUCACCAACAUGCUUCAUUCAGGUUACGGAAGUCACGGCAGCGUUGCACAGGACUUGCUUAAGAAUCUAAAUAGAAUCUGCAGUUAUGAAUCAUGGCCAGGAUCUUUUAUCGCUGGGAAUGCUCAAUCUUUCAGGACAUAUUUCAGCUGUCAAUGUCUUGUUCAUCUAUUUCAAAACCAUAGCAACACAGCUUGUAAUUAACUAAUACAUUUGUAUAAUAUUGUAUAAUAUUCUACCGUCAUGUUAGACAUGUUUGAAUACCUGAAAAUGCAUGAAGCAAUUACAUAUGUUUCUGCAAAAUAUUUCCUUUUCUGUUACAAAAGAGAAAGUUACAUAGGUUUUAAAUGAUCUUAGAUCUUUUCUU
Molecule: long non-coding RNA, 1308 nt
Organism: Labeo rohita (rohu)
Lineage: Eukaryota; Metazoa; Chordata; Actinopteri; Cypriniformes; Cyprinidae
Exons: 3
Source: RefSeq, a predicted model, not a curated record